UUCUCUCCUGAGCGUGAAGCCGGCUCUUCGUGUCGCUUUACUGCGACUGCCUUUUGCCAUUGAUGAUCGUAAAAAAAAAAAAGAAAAAGAA
RNAcentral lists this small nucleolar RNA (91 nucleotides) under Tupaia belangeri (northern tree shrew). RNAcentral describes it as "Small nucleolar RNA U3 (ENSTBEG00000020519.1)". It matches the Rfam family "Small nucleolar RNA U3", at positions 98 to 196 of the family's 219-position model. Rfam says of the family: Small nucleolar RNAs (snoRNAs) are involved in the processing and modification of rRNA in the nucleolus. Lineage: Eukaryota; Metazoa; Chordata; Mammalia; Scandentia; Tupaiidae. The record is from RNAcentral.